GCCCGGAUGGCGGAAUUGGUAGACGCGUUGGACUCAAAAUCCAAUGUUCGCAAGAACGUGAGAGUUCAAGUCUCUCUCCGGGCA
Molecule: transfer RNA, 84 nt
Filed under: Candidatus Moraniibacteriota bacterium
Lineage: Bacteria; Candidatus Moraniibacteriota
Description: Candidatus Moranbacteria bacterium tRNA-Leu
Rfam family: tRNA
About the family: Transfer RNA (tRNA) molecules are approximately 80 nucleotides in length. Their secondary structure includes four short double-helical elements and three loops (D, anti-codon, and T loops).
Source: RNAcentral